AAGUUUCUUCGGAAAUGAGUAAAGUGGCGUACGGGUGAGUAAUAUAUAGGAAUCUACCCAGUAAUGAGGAAUAAGCACUGGAAACGGUGUCUAAUACCACAUACUACCAUUUAUUUGGGAAAGAAUUAAUGGCAACAUUAAUUUGUUAUUGGAUGAGCCUAUAGCGGAUUAGCUAGUUGGUGAGGUAAAGGCCCACCAAGGCGAUGAUCCGUAGCUGAUCUGAGAGGGUGAUCAGCCACAUUGGGACUGCGACACGGCCCAAACUCCUACGGGAGGCAGCAGUAGGGAAUAUUGGACAAUGGGCGAAAGCCUAAUCCAGCAAUACCGCGUGAAUGAUGAAGGUCUUAGGAUUGUAAAGUUCUUUCGGUGGGGAAGAUAAUGACGGUACCCACAGAAGAAGCACCGGCUAACUUCGUGCCAGCAGCCGCGGUAAUACGAAGGGUGCUAGCGUUAUUCGGAAUCACUGGGCGUAAAGAGUGUAAAGGCUGUUAGAUAAGUUAGUUAUGAAAUCCCUGAGCUCAACUCAGGAACUAUAAUUAAAACUAUCUAGCUAGAGUAUAGUAGGCGAUGGCGGAAUUCUUAGUGUAGGGGUGAAAUCCGUAGAUAUUAAGAGGAACACCGGUGGUGAAGACGGCUAUCUUGACUAUAACUGACGCUACAACACGAAGGCAUGGGUAGCAAACA
This 684-nucleotide ribosomal RNA is filed under the name uncultured bacterium. RNAcentral's name for it is "bacterial SSU rRNA". It matches the Rfam family "Bacterial small subunit ribosomal RNA", at positions 72 to 774 of the family's 1533-position model. The record is from RNAcentral.